Molecule: ribosomal RNA, 480 nt
Filed under: uncultured bacterium
Lineage: Bacteria
Description: partial 16S ribosomal RNA
Rfam family: Bacterial small subunit ribosomal RNA
Source: RNAcentral
GAUGAACGCUAGCGGCAGGCCUAACACAUGCAAGUCGAGGGGUAGAAGGAGCUUGCUCCUUUGAGACCGGCGCACGGGUGCGUAACGCGUAUGCAAUCUACCUUGUACAGGGGAAUAGCCCAGAGAAAUUUGGAUUAAUGCCCCAUAGUAUAUAACCUUCGCAUGUUGGUUAUAUUAAAGUUCCAACGGUACAAGAUGAGCAUGCGUCCCAUUAGUUAGUUGGUAAGGUAACGGCUUACCAAGACGAUGAUGGGUAGGGGUCCUGAGAGGGAGAUCCCCCACACGGGUACUGAGACACGGACCAGACUCCUACGGGAGGCAGCAGUGAGGAAUAUUGGUCAAUGGUCGCAAGACUGAACCAGCCAUGCCGCGUGCAGGAAGACGGUCCUAUGGAUUGUAAACUGCUUUUAUACAGGAAGAAACCCUCCCACGUGUGGGAGCUUGACGGUACUGUAGGAAUAAGGAUCGGCUAACUCCGUG